CAAAAAACAAAAUCGGGGUAACAAACUAAAACCGAGGGAAACGCAUUAAAUAUAAGAGGAGAACAACGAUAUAACACCGAAACGUAACACACACAGAAACGGACCAAGCAUCAGACAAAACACCACGAGAAUAACAAAUAUAACAUGAAAACCAAAUACAUGAAUUUGGGAUAGACAAGAACCGUGCCACGUCUGAUCUCAAUUUCUCAAAAAUAAGAGAAAACACAAACGACUCAACGUUAAAAUGCAAC
This 251-nucleotide long non-coding RNA is filed under the name Mytilus galloprovincialis (Mediterranean mussel). Lineage: Eukaryota; Metazoa; Mollusca; Bivalvia; Mytilida; Mytilidae. The record is from RNAcentral.